Molecule: non-coding RNA, 171 nt
Organism: Schistocephalus solidus
Lineage: Eukaryota; Metazoa; Platyhelminthes; Cestoda; Diphyllobothriidea; Diphyllobothriidae
Source: Rfam
CAACGCCCGUCAAUACUACCGAUUGAAUGGUUUAGUAAGGCCCUCGGAUUGGCGCCAUUGCAGUGCCGGCCGCAAGGUUGGUGCUCGGCAGGUGCCGAGAAGAUGACCAAACGUGAUCAUUUAGAGGAAGUAAAAGUCGUAACAAGGUUUCCGUAGGUGAACCUGCGGAAG